Long non-coding RNA from Herpailurus yagouaroundi (jaguarundi), 2342 nucleotides. RefSeq lists it as uncharacterized. The record is from RefSeq and is a predicted model, not a curated record. Lineage: Eukaryota; Metazoa; Chordata; Mammalia; Carnivora; Felidae. The transcript is spliced from 4 exons.
AGCCCGACGCGGGGCUCUAACUCACGAACCGCGAGACCAUGACCUGAGCCGAAGUCGGCCGCCCAACCGACUGAGCCACGCAGGCGCCCCGAGCUGCCAAGUCUUUAAGUGCAAAGGCCACUCUAUCCUUGGACUUCCCACUCUGCGGGCGGCUGCCAUUAAGAAGUGGAAUCUGUUUCCUUAAAAGCCCUUGAACCUGGGCUAGCCCUGGCACUUGUUUUGACCUCCAGCAUGUGGCAGAAGUGGAUAUGGUGGCUCCCAGCACGGGGGUCACGAGGACUGGGAUACUUCCCACCCUCUGGUUUGGAAUCUUGACCGACCACCGUGAGGACCAGCCUGAGCUAGAUUUCUAGAGGAUGGGAGACCCCCGGGUGACCCCCAAGUAUGUAAGAAAGCUCAACCCAGCCCAGCCAGCGGAGCCACCGACACCGACUGUCCUCGGACCCAUCAGUGAGCCCAGCUGGGGCCAGAAGAACCUCCGGCUGACCUGCAGACACUGAUGCCAGUGGGAAACCACUCGGGUUCCUGAUGGAUUCAGUGCUCUCCAAAUGCUCUGUCGUAUUAGCCGUGGAAAUGGGCUUUGUCUUGUCCUGGAGUCAUCGCUUGAUGAAAUGAACAGGCACUCAACCUCCGGAAGCCCAAGCUCUUACGGCUGAGACCCAGGCUCGCACAAGAAGCUACUGCCCUCUAAGAGAAUGAUCAGUGCACGGGAGUAUGGGCCAGACAUUGACAGCAGCAGCCACAGAGGGUCUGAGGGUCUCCUCCCCGCACCAUGAAUGCAGUCCCAGUGGAGAACAUCUCUGAUCUCCGGAAAAGCCCUGCCCAUAGGUGGGGAGAGAAUGAACUUUGGAACCAUGCGUCCUGGGCUCAAAUCCCAGCUCUUGGAGGCUCACCGUCUACUUUCUCUGCUGCCGAAGAUGCUUUACACCCAGCAAAGGGAGAUCUCAGAAAAGGCUGAGCCUGAGUGGAGGGUGUGGAGGUGGCCUGGUUAUUCUUAGCAAGGAACGAAGAGAGGCAAAAGAUGCUUUGGGCUGCCAGGGCCGCAUAGCACCUUUCAGAGGGAGCGGCCAGACCACAGUCCUUCCUGGCUCGCCAAGUUUGGUUGGAAAUUCUUUCCACCCCAGGCAGCAGGGAAUUCAGGGAAUUCGGGGUGGGUCUGCCAGGGCCUUCAGAGACCCUUAAAUAAAAUUUCUCAGCUCUGGUGUCAGAACAGUGGUCAGACGUGAGGAGGGCUGUUCGAACAGCCGGGCCUGGCAAGCAGGACCCCAGAGGCUGGGCUCCUGGCCCAUCUGUAGUUUUCCUUCCCGUCUGAAAGCUUUGAUUCAUGCAAAGGCUGGCCCAAGGAGGGUGAGGGGAACUGAAAAGGUACGUGUCCUCAGAACCAAGGAAGAGGGAAGGACAUUCCACCACCUUGCUGACGCCCCGGCUUUCAAAGGUUCAGGAAGAGCUGAGUGGCAUUGAGACCUGGCUUUUUGGUCCAAACUGUUGUUGCCCUCCAGGAGAGAACAAAAGUCCUUUUCUAGGGCACAGACUCUGUGGGUAAGACAGAGGGUAAGGGGUAAGAGCACAGCCUCUGACUCAAAAGAGCCCCAUCCCUGUCACUAAGAAGCUGUGUAGCACUGGACAGGUCAUUUAACAUGUAAAAAUUAAUUAAAAGGGAACCUCACUAAAAGGGAGUCAGGAGGCCAGAAAGGAGUCUGGGGGGGGGGGGGCGGGGGAGAGUAUCACUCAAAUAUCAAUUUUAAGAAGAAUUGUCAAUUACAGACUCCCAACAGAAUUCAGGAAAUUAUCAUCAACUACAGGCCCCAAGAGGGAGAGAUGUACAUUACAUCCCCUGUAAGAAAUCAACUACCCCAGCAACUCAGCUAGUGAGAAACUGUCAGUCCCGAACUCUUGCUUUGUUUAAGGGCCUUUCAUGCAAAACAACCCGACUAACUUCCUCUUUCUCCAUAAAACGUUCCUUUCCUUUGUUUGUUGCCCUUGCCCCUGGUUUUACUGUUUUGCAAUUCUCGGCUAUUCCCGAAUAAACCCAUUUUGCUGAUAAGAUAACCUCUGUUCUUCAGGUGAACAGAUGUUGCCAUGCCUCAGUUUCCUCAACCAGUCAUCCCUACGUUACGGGGUCGCUGUGAGGAUUAAAUGAACAUUCAGUUCUUGGAGCAGAGCCUGGUUUACCCAAAGUCGUUGGUAGAUAGUAACCCACGAGCCUGGCACAGGAAAGUAUUCCAUUAAUAGCAACUAUCCUGGGUACUGGCUGCUUUUCCAUCUGUCCAGUCUGUCGUAGAGUGUUUAAGGCUUGCAGACGUGAGGUGGCUCAGUCAGUUGAGUGUCCGACUCUGGCUCAG